Molecule: ribosomal RNA, 410 nt
Filed under: uncultured microorganism
Description: bacterial SSU rRNA
Rfam family: Bacterial small subunit ribosomal RNA
Source: RNAcentral
CAGCCGCCGCGGUAAUACGUAGGGUGCGAGCGUUAAUCGGAUUUACUGGGCGUAAAGCGUGCGCAGGCGGCCCGUUAAGACAGGUGUGAAAUCCCUGGGCUCAACCUAGGAAUUGCGCUUGUGACUGGCGGGCUCGAGUACGGUAGAGGGGGGUGGAAUUCCUGGUGUAGCAGUGAAAUGCGUAGAGAUCAGGAGGAACACCGAUGGCGAAGGCAGCCCCCUGGGCCUGUACUGACGCUCAUGCACGAAAGCGUGGGGAGCAACCAGGAUUAGAUACCCUGGUAGUCCACGCCCUAAACGAUGGGUACUAGCCGUUUGGUGCGCGAGAGCGCUGAGUGGCGAAGCUAACGCGUGAAGUACCCCGCCUGGGGAGUACGGCCGCAAGGUUGAAACUUAAAGGAAUUGGCGGG